This is a long non-coding RNA of Triticum aestivum (bread wheat), 2685 nucleotides long. RefSeq lists it as uncharacterized. The transcript is spliced from 4 exons. The record is from RefSeq and is a predicted model, not a curated record. NCBI's taxonomy places the organism in Eukaryota, Viridiplantae, Streptophyta, Magnoliopsida, Poales, Poaceae.
GACCGCCUCCGCCACCGCUGCUCCCCAUCUUCUUCUCCAUCCUCCAUCCCCCAAUUCAAUCUUAUCCAUCUUCCUCUCCCUCGUCCCCGCCACCACCGGCAACCUCGGUGCCCCUCUCCCUAACCGCCACUGCCCCCACCCUCUCCCCCAUCCCCCGCUCUCACCUUCUGUCCUUAAACUAGGCGGCCCCCAGAACGAGAAGGUUGAGGCGCUUCCCGAUUUGUGGCGGCUGCUUCCGAAUCUGCCGAGCAGCGCAAGAGGUCGGCUCCUUCUCCGCGUUGUUCUGCGCCAAGGUGAGGCACUCAAUACCGUGGCCGGAUGGAGGUUGGGUGAUUUCCUUCCCUGACCUCGCCGCCUAGCCACUCCACCGCGAGCUUCUCGCCCCCAGGUUGUUCUUCCCCUGCUCACUCCCUCCCUCUUCCUCUCCAUGGAUUGGUUGCUGCUGCAUGCUUCUGCUCAAGUACCAGUCAUCUCUUGCGUUGGUGCUUCUGCUGUGUGGAUUUGUUGAUAUUGUUGAUAUUGCUUAGCUAGUGUGGAUGACUAGAUGUGGGUGCGUGACUGUGCUAACAUAUUAGAAUAUUUUCAAAUAAAAAUAACAAUUAGUGCUUAAGUAAUAAUUUAUGGGUUGAGUUCUGCGCAUAGUUAAAUGUAGCAGCAGCAUACAGUUUUCACAGUGCGGUGCACACUGCCGAGCAUGCAUUUUUGUAUGUAGAAAUCUCAAAUCUUUGUAACACAACACUUGCUGGCAUUGGGUAAAUGACUUGCCUUCCAUUAACUAUUGUCUUUCAUUUUAUAAAAAGAAAAAAGAUUAUCUCUUGCGUGCAAAUGUACUCUGUGAGUUAAUAAUACAUCCACGUGUAUGUGUAGUUCAUUGGGCCUGUAGCUCACUAGUUUGUGUUUCCCCUGUAAUGUUUACCUCUGCUAUCAUGAUGAAUUUGGCUUUGUAGUCCGGUCCUUGACAUAUAGUUCUUGUUUGAAGAAUUAGUAUUUUAAAAUUUUAGUGCCCACGUAACAUCAGUACCUUGGAAUAUACUGCUUGUUGGAAGGAUUAACAUUUUAUAUCCUGAACAUUUAUUAUUGCAGCUGCUCUUUAGCUACAUAGCUACAUAAUAACAAAUCUGACUUGAACUUUAUAUGUUUAUAUUACAUGGCAAGUUGAUUGUGUAGCCUAUGUACAGAGAAGCUAAGGUGUAGAUAAGUUCAGAAAGGUGUCUCGUUUGGCUAGAGUGUGAUGAAGUAGUGUGGAAUUGCUCUGUACCUUUUAUACAUUUGUGCGUGGAAUCUGUUAUUAAUCUGUACAACAUCAGCACUAGUAAUUUAAUGGUAUCGAUUCAGUAUCUUAACUACUGGGCCACCAGUCAGCCAUGAAUCUUUGUCUGUACAACAUCAAUAGUGAAACUUUUAUAUUAUUGCAGUAUCUCGACAACAUAAGUACUACCAAGCAUGUAUAUUUUUCUGUAGAAACGACUUCUUCCAUUAACUAUAGUCCUGCAUUUUUCUAGAAAAAUAGUCUGAUCUCUUGCAUGCAAAUGUUCUCUGCGAUACUAAUACAUCCAUGUGUAUGGGUACUACUGGGGCCUGUAGCUCACUAGUUUGUGGUUCCCUGCAAUUAUUUACCUCUGCUAUCAUGCUGGUUUCGGCUUUGUAGUAAGGUCCUCGACAUACUUCUCGUUCAAAGAAUUAGCACUUUAAAAUUUUAGUUUGCCUACAUAACAUCAGUACCUUGGAAUAUAGUUCCUGUUGGAACGAUUAACAUUUUGUAUUCUGCACAUUUGUUAUUGCAGCUGCUCUUUAGCUGUAUAACAUCAAAUCUGGACUUGAACUAUAAAUAUUUAGAUUAUAUGACAAGUUAAUUGUGCUACUUUUUAUUCGCCGGUGUUAGUUACUAUGAAGUAGCUGACUGGAGCCAACGAUGGAUGCUUAGCCUCUAGUUAUAAGGAUUCCCUGCUGCUGCUUUUGCUACCUCUUCUGUUCCCUGAAUGAAUGGUCCUGCUGCUUUCUCACAUGCGGUUUCUGUUUCUCUUUUUCUUGGAUAGUGUUCUUCUCUCUUAGAAUCAUAGUCUGGUCAGGCUGCUUGUGCUGUCAAAUUUGAACUACUUAUUAGGGUUGAUUUCUAUGCCACUAAUGCCUACUGCCUUCUCCACGCAUCUAGCGGAGUACAAGACGUCCUCCUCCUCGAUGCAGCCAUUCCCAACGAGCUCUCUUUGCCGGAAGAGGUGCAGAAGCAAGUCCAGCACCCCCUUCGCCCCUGCAUCCUGUCCUACAUCGCCUGGACGAGCUCACUGAUGGUUGCAUCCUUACCUCCUAGCGUGAUGUGGACUUUAAUUAUGCUCCUGUUGUUUUCUAGUCAAAUAAGCACAGUGGAGUUUACUACCAACUCUUGAUCUAUUGUGACAUAUUUUUCAUCAUGUGGCAUAUAUUGGUUUAUGGGAGCAUUUUCAACAACAAAGAUAUGACGAGCGGAUCCACGGCCAGGAAUGCGGGGUCCCUUGGUUGUACGACGAGCAUUGUGCGUUGCUUGAUGGGUGUGGUGCUGGCUGUAGAGUAGCAUAGUGUUCUCUAAGGCAUGCCUGUGGAAUUAAUCUUUUUUGGGUUCUUUUUUUGCUCCUGUACAGGUGUAUCUUGGCUGUGUUUAUGUCAUUUUUUUGUUUUUAAGGAUCUGAGCAUAUAUUUUCUGUUAAAUUA